AUAGCUCAGAUGGUAAAGCAUCUGUCUGCAAUGCAGGAGACCCAGGUUCGACCCCUGCGU
This 60-nucleotide transfer RNA is filed under the name Bos taurus (domestic cattle). It matches the Rfam family "tRNA", at positions 7 to 64 of the family's 71-position model. Rfam says of the family: Transfer RNA (tRNA) molecules are approximately 80 nucleotides in length. Lineage: Eukaryota; Metazoa; Chordata; Mammalia; Artiodactyla; Bovidae. The record is from Rfam by way of RNAcentral.